UAUUUAACGCGUUAACUGCGGCACCGAAUUUAAAACCCGACACCUAAUAUCCAUCGUUUACAGCGUGGACUACCAGGGUAUCUAAUCCUGUUUGCUACCCACGCUUUCGUACCUUAGCGUKAGUUCUGGUUCAGUUGGCCGCCUUCGCCACCGGUGUUCCUCCAGAUAUCUACGGAUUUCACUCCUACACCUGGAAUUCCGCCAACCUCUCCGAGACUCUAGCACUUCAGUUUCAAACGCAAUUGCUCGGUUGAGCCGAGGGCUUUCACGUCUGAAUUGAAGCGCCGCCUACGCACGCUUUACGCCCAGUGAUUCCGAUUAAAGCUCGCACCCUCCGUAUUAACGCGGCUGCUGGCACGGAGUUAGCCGGUGCUUCCUCUAGAGGUACCGUCAGUGAAUGGCCCUAUUCGAACCAAACAGUUUCUUCCCUCUUGACAGUAGUUUACGACCCGAAGCCUUCUUCCUACACGCGGCGUCGCUGCUCAGGGUUUUCGCCAUUGCGCAAUAUUCCCCACUGCUGCCUCCCGUAGAGUAUGGGCCGUGUUUCAGUCCCAGUGUGGCUGAUCAUCCUCUCAGACCAGCUACUCAUCGUUGCCUUGN
Molecule: ribosomal RNA, 600 nt
Filed under: Desulfovibrio sp. N50XVII
Lineage: Bacteria; Pseudomonadati; Thermodesulfobacteriota; Desulfovibrionia; Desulfovibrionales; Desulfovibrionaceae
Description: partial 16S ribosomal RNA
Source: RNAcentral